UGAACAAAUGAAAUCCAUACAUACAGAAACUGAAUUUUGAACUCGAUUUUGCUAUGAACUUGUGGGUCCUUACUUUUGUGAGUAUCGAAGUAUAGGUUGCGUCGCCGGAAUUUAAGAGCAGAGGGAGGAGAUAGGCGGUUUCAGGGAGGCAGUGGCUGCCGAAGCUCCUGUUGUUGACGGCGACGGUGCUCCUUCAGUGGGGAGGCCGACCCGCCGACAUGAAGCGGCAGCAGCGGAUUCAGACGGCGGUGGCGGCGGCUGACGAAGCUACUGUUGUCGACGGCGGCGUUCCUUCAGUGGGUGAUGUGUGUGUGUGCUGUCAACAAGAGAGAGAGAGACCAGCGACGUUCCUUCAGUGGGCGGACAGCCGGAGGGGGAGGGUGGGUCUGGACAGAUAUGGAGAAACGGGGAGAGGUGACAGGAAG
RNAcentral lists this long non-coding RNA (425 nucleotides) under Salvia miltiorrhiza (redroot sage). Its description in RNAcentral is "long non-coding RNA (SMIL_LNC013969)". The record is from RNAcentral. Lineage: Eukaryota; Viridiplantae; Streptophyta; Magnoliopsida; Lamiales; Lamiaceae.